UGGGGAAUAUUGCACAAUGGGCGCAAGCCUGAUGCAGCCAUGCCGCGUGUGUGAAGAAGGCCUUCGGGUUGUAAAGCACUUUCAGCGGGGAGGAAGGCGUUAAGGUUAAUAACCUUGGCGAUUGACGUUACCCGCAGAAGAAGCACCGGCUAACUCCGUGCCAGCAGCCGCGGUAAUACGGAGGGUGCAAGCGUUGUCCGGAUUUAUUGGGCGUAAAGCGAGCGCAGGCGGUUUCUUAAGUCUGAUGUGAAAGCCCCCGGCUCAACCGGGGAGGGUCAUUGGAAACUGGGAGACUUGAGUGCAGAAGAGGAGAGUGGAAUUCCAUGUGUAGCGGUGAAAUGCGUAGAUAUAUGGAGGAACACCAGUGGCGAAGGCGGCUCUCUGGUCUGUAACUGACGCUGAGGCUCGAAAGCGUGGGGAGCAAACAGG
Molecule: ribosomal RNA, 429 nt
Filed under: Chloroflexota bacterium
Lineage: Bacteria; Bacillati; Chloroflexota
Description: Chloroflexi bacterium partial 16S ribosomal RNA
Rfam family: Bacterial small subunit ribosomal RNA
Source: RNAcentral